GACGAACGCUGGCGGCGUGCCUAAUACAUGCAAGUCGAACGCUGAAGGAGGAGCUUGCUUCUCUGGAUGAGUUGCGAACGGGUGAGUAACGCGUAGGUAACCUGCCUGGUAGCGGGGGAUAACUAUUGGAAACGAUAGCUAAUACCGCAUAAGAGUAGAUGUCGCAUGACAUCUGCUUAAAAGGUGCAAUUGCAUCACUACCAGAUGGACCUGCGUUGUAUUAGCUAGUUGGUGAGGUAACGGCUCACCAAGGCAACGAUACAUAGCCGACCUGAGAGGGUGAUCGGCCACACUGGGACUGAGACACGGCCCAGACUCCUACGGGAGGCAGCAGUAGGGAAUCUUCGGCAAUGGACGGAAGUCUGACCGAGCAACGCCGCGUGAGUGAAGAAGGUUUUCGGAUCGUAAAGCUCUGUUGUAAGAGAAGAACGAGUGUGAGAGUGGAAAGUUCACACUGUGACGGUAUCUUACCAGAAAGAGACGGCUAACUACGUG
RNAcentral lists this ribosomal RNA (495 nucleotides) under uncultured bacterium. Its description in RNAcentral is "partial 16S ribosomal RNA". It matches the Rfam family "Bacterial small subunit ribosomal RNA", at positions 28 to 507 of the family's 1533-position model. The record is from RNAcentral.